RNAcentral lists this ribosomal RNA (500 nucleotides) under uncultured bacterium. Its description in RNAcentral is "partial 16S ribosomal RNA". It matches the Rfam family "Bacterial small subunit ribosomal RNA", at positions 30 to 523 of the family's 1533-position model. The record is from RNAcentral.
AUUGAACGCUGGCGGCAGGCUUAACACAUGCAAGUCGAGCGGAGAUGAGGUGCUUGCACCUUAUCUUAGCGGCGGACGGGUGAGUAAUGCCUAGGAAUCUGCCUAGUAGUGGGGGACAACGUUUCGAAAGGAACGCUAAUACCGCAUACGUCCUACGGGAGAAAGUGGGGGCUCUUCGGACCUCACGCUAUUAGAUGAGCCUAGGUCGGAUUAGCUAGUUGGUAGGGUAAAGGCCUACCAAGGCGACGAUCCGUAACUGGUCUGAGAGGAUGAUCAGUCACACUGGAACUGAGACACGGUCCAGACUCCUACGGGAGGCAGCAGUGGGGAAUACUGGACAAUGGGCGCAAGCCUGAUCCAGCCAUGCCGCGUGUGUGAAGAAGGCCUUCGGGUCGUAAAGCACUUUAAGUUGGGAGGAAGGGCUUACGGUUAAUACCUGUGAGUUUUGACGUUACCAACAGAAUAAGCACCGGCUAACUUCGUGCCAGCAGCCGCCGUAA